This 205-nucleotide long non-coding RNA is filed under the name Mytilus galloprovincialis (Mediterranean mussel). Lineage: Eukaryota; Metazoa; Mollusca; Bivalvia; Mytilida; Mytilidae. The record is from RNAcentral.
CCCUAUCAUCCUUUUGACUGAAUGUAGAUGGACAGAAAACACAUUCCCAGUGCUCUGACAUCCGUGGUGUUGUUUUUGUUUUUGCCAUACUAAAAUUACCUACAAAAUAAUAGAAAGAUUUAAAAAUUACAAAAUGUACAAACUUAUUUGACAACAUAAUCAUUCAUCCAAACUGGUUUUCGCCUUGUACGACGCCCUUCAACAC